AUGGUGGAUACAAGGAAGCACCUCUCCUAUCCUUUGGUAUAUCGGCUUUUGAAGCUAGCUUUGACUCUUCCUGUUGCCACUGCCACUGUUGAGAGGUUUUCAGCUAUGAAGAUUGUGAAGAAUGCUUUGCGUAACAAAAUUGGUGAUGAUUAUUUGAGCCAUAGCCUAAUUUGCUUUGUGGAAAAGGGACUGCUGGACGAAAUUACUAAUGAAGUGAUUGUUGAUCGUUUUCAUAAGAUGAAAGAUCGUCGUGGGAAGAACGAAAUGUAA
This 270-nucleotide ribosomal RNA is filed under the name Triticum aestivum (bread wheat). RNAcentral describes it as "partial small subunit ribosomal RNA". The record is from RNAcentral. Lineage: Eukaryota; Viridiplantae; Streptophyta; Magnoliopsida; Poales; Poaceae.